Molecule: ribosomal RNA, 440 nt
Filed under: uncultured bacterium
Lineage: Bacteria
Description: bacterial SSU rRNA
Rfam family: Bacterial small subunit ribosomal RNA
Source: RNAcentral
UAGGGAAUUUUCGUCAAUGGGGGGGAACCCUGAACGAGCAAUGCCGCGUGUGUGAAGAAGGUCUUCGGAUCGUAAAGCACUGUUGUAAGUGAAGAAUGCCAUAUAGAGGAAAUGCUAUGUGGGUGACGGUAGCUUACCAGAAAGCCACGGCUAACUACGUGCCAGCAGCCGCGGUAAUACGUAGGUGGCAAGCGUUAUCCGGAAUCAUUGGGCGUAAAGGGUGCGUAGGUGGCACGAUAAGUCUGAAGUAAAAGGCAACAGCUCAACUGUUGUAUGCUUUGGAAACUGUCGAGCUAGAGUGCAGAAGAGGGCGAUGGAAUUCCAUGUGUAGCGGUAAAAAUGCGUAGAUAUAUGGAGGAACACCAGUGGCGAAGGCGGUCGCCUGGUCUGUAACUGACACUGAUGCACGAAAGCGUGGGGAGCAAAUAGGAUUAGAUACC